AAGAAUUGAAAAACAAAUAGCAUUUAGAACUAACCUUUUGUAUAUCAAAGUAACUUGAACUAGUAGUUAAUUUUUUUUGCAGUAUAACACUUUUUAUAUCUAAAUUUAAAGAAAAAAAACAUGAAGCACUACAGGCAAGAAUAUAAGACCAAAAUGGAGCCACCACGCAACACUAGAGGAGGAGAACGAAAGACACCAAACAGCUUUAGAGAUUCGACAGUAGCAGCGGUGGCAAUGCGACAAUUCCAGACAGGUGAUGCGGUGAGAUAACAAGCACAAUUUGGCGAGGAAAGGCACUGCGAUGGAAGAGAGAGGAACCAUGGUGAACGAUGAACCAUGGCAACGGAUGAGGCAAUGAAGAACAGAGGAAGGGAUGAACGGAAAAGUGUCGUCGAAGCCAAGAAGGACGUCGACAAAGAGGAACCAUGCAUGGUGAACUGAGGGCAAGAACGGCGAGCAGUCUUCGGCAUGGCUGAGAUCAGGUCUGAGAAGAGGGUAGGAGUGAGGUGACUGGAUCUCAAGUUCUGGGUAAGGUUGAGUCUAUGCGAGGUGCUUUAAAGCGUGUUGAUAGCUCAAAAAAGCUUGGCGAAAAGUUUUCGUCACGUUUUUUUGCACUUUUUGGCACACUUUAAAAGCAUGACAAAAGGCUGCUUUUGUUGUAGUAUUUUGUGUUAGGAGAUGUAGUGGAGAAAUCAGGUUUUGUGAGGUUAAUAUAACAUAUUUAUUUUAUUUACUAGAUGUGGAUUUGCAUAUCUUCGAAUCGGAUCCGCGGAU
Molecule: long non-coding RNA, 774 nt
Filed under: Arachis ipaensis
Lineage: Eukaryota; Viridiplantae; Streptophyta; Magnoliopsida; Fabales; Fabaceae
Description: long non-coding RNA (AIPA_LNC000621)
Source: RNAcentral